Quercus lobata is the source of this 761-nucleotide long non-coding RNA. RefSeq lists it as uncharacterized. The transcript has 3 exons. Lineage: Eukaryota; Viridiplantae; Streptophyta; Magnoliopsida; Fagales; Fagaceae. The record is from RefSeq and is a predicted model, not a curated record.
UUUUAUACCCCGUCGGUAUCGUCCACUUUACCAACUUCACGAAGAAGAGCUACUCUCAUGUCUAAUUAAAAUCAACAAACGUUAUCUUAUUAGACGGGCCAUUUCAUUAUCCGCGGAAAUUGAUAAGAUUGAAUCGUCUCAGAUUUAUCUGUUAUAUUUUCCCUCUAUAAACUUCGAAGGCCGCUGGAAAGAUGUAUUGAAUCAAGUAGAUGCUUAUGCAUUCAACCAAAUUGAGGUUGAAUUUAUAACCUCGGUUAAAGCGGAUCUAAAUUUGAAUAAAGUGGAUCCUUAUGCAUCCAGCCAAUUGGAGAUUAUGAAAUGUGGAGCCCAUUUGGUAUUGGAGCAAGACAUUGAAGAUCUCAAACAAUCUAAGGUUGGGUCUAGCAGUUGCAUAAUCACUCCAUAUGAGGAUAAUGAUUUAGACGAUUCAGAGAAAGAUUCUAAAAUUAAGGGAAGCCCAGAUGCCAAACCACCACAUCUGAAGUGGAUAGGAAGCUGGUACAGACAAUUGUACCACCGUCUUUGAGCGUCUCUGGAGUUGAUUCUGAUGAUGAUGGAGUGGAACUGGGUUUGGUGCUAUUUUUGUUUGGCUACAAGGAAACUUGAGGUACCAGUUGGAGCUAUGCCAGAAAGCUUUGGAGGAGAAUAUUAUUGUUUAUUUGGGGACAACCACAUUGCUGUACUACUUAUACAUGAGCUGGGUCACUUGAUAAGGAAGCCCCAGAAGAGCAUAUGCAUAUGCAUAAGGAAGCCCCAGAAGA